RNAcentral lists this ribosomal RNA (497 nucleotides) under uncultured bacterium. RNAcentral's name for it is "partial 16S ribosomal RNA". It matches the Rfam family "Bacterial small subunit ribosomal RNA", at positions 28 to 507 of the family's 1533-position model. The record is from RNAcentral.
GAUGAACGCUGGCGGCGUGCCUAAUACAUGCAAGUCGAGCGAACGGACGAGGCGCUUGCUUCUCUGACGUUACCGACGGACGGGUAAUUAACACGUGUAUAACCUACCUAUAAGACUGAGAUAAGUUCAGGAAACCGGAGACAAUACCGGAUCUUAUAUUGAACCGCAUGGUUCAUUAGUGCACGACGGUUUUGCUGUCACUUGGACGUAGUUCCUCGCCGCAUUAGCUAGUUGGUAAGGUAACGGCUUACCAAGGCAACGAUGCGUAGCCGACCUGAGAGGAUGAUCGGCCACACUGGAACUGAGACACGGUCCAGACUCCUACGGGAGGCAGCAGUAGGGAAUCUUCCGCAAUGGGCGAAAGCCUGACGGAGCAACGCCGCGUGAGUGAUGAAGGUCUUCGGAUCGUAAAACUCUGUUAUUAGGGAAGAACAAAUGUGUAAGUAACUAUGCACGUCUUGACGGUACCUAAUCAGAAAGCCACGGCUAACUACGUG